RNAcentral lists this transfer RNA (74 nucleotides) under Nitrososphaerota archaeon. RNAcentral's name for it is "tRNA-Lys". It matches the Rfam family "tRNA". From Rfam's summary of the family: Transfer RNA (tRNA) molecules are approximately 80 nucleotides in length. Their secondary structure includes four short double-helical elements and three loops (D, anti-codon, and T loops). The record is from RNAcentral. Lineage: Archaea; Thermoproteati; Nitrososphaerota.
GGGUCCGUAGCUCAGUCCGGUAGAGCAAGCGGCUCUUAACCGCUUGGUCCAGGGUUCGAAUCCCUGCGGGCCCG